This 687-nucleotide ribosomal RNA is filed under the name uncultured fungus. RNAcentral describes it as "eukaryotic LSU rRNA". The stretch from base 215 to 366 matches the Rfam family "5.8S ribosomal RNA". Lineage: Eukaryota; Fungi. The record is from RNAcentral.
CUUGGUCAUUUAGAGGAAGUAAAAGUCGUAACAAGGUUUCCGUAGGUGAACCUGCGGAAGGAUCAUUGCAAAUCAUGGGCUGAGGGAAGGCACGGUGGGGAAGAAGUAAUUCUGAACCACUGCGCAUCCUCGGCCGACAUUUGGUCGGGACGCUCGUCCUGGAUCAUAUUCACGCUUGUGCUGUUUGACAGAGUAAAGACGCAGUUAAUGAGACAACUUUUAACAAUGGAUCUCUUGGCUCUUGCCCCGAUGAAGAACGCAGUCAAGUGCGAAAUGUAAUGCGAUUUGCAUGAAUCUGUGAGUCAUCUAAUCUUUGAACGCAACUUGCGCCCUCCAGCGAUGGAUGGCAUGUCUGUUUGAGUACGACAACCAACUGUGCCUUUUUGGUGCGAGGUGGCCUGCGUGCGGCGCAUGUUUUGCAGCGUGUGUUGUGCAGCGGGCUGAAAAGGAGCCAGUCAGGCUGGGCGGUCUGGCAGUGUGCUAGGGACCAAGGGGCAUGCGUGCGGGGACUGCGGAAUGUGGAGAGGUGCGGAUGGUGGACCAUCGUCUGCGCUGAUCUGCACUCUGCCCGCCGCGUUCGCAUGUCGCUGUCUUGUCGCUGCCAGCACCAACCAGCUCACACCACAUCUUCCGUCUCAAAUCAGGCAAGACGACCCGCUGAACUUAAGCAUAUCAAUAAGCGGAGGA